CCCGGCACUGACUGGAGACCCAGGUGAGUCCUAGCAACUCACACGGCCCAACCGUCAAAACCACCUCUGUGGUGGGCGCGCACCCAACGCACGCACUUAGGCUCAAUCCGGGAGUCGCCUCCGGCCACUGACUGGAGACCCAGGCGAGUCCUAAGGAACUGACAAGGCCCAACGGUCAAAACGGCCUCUGUCGUGGGCGCUCACCCAAUGCACCCACCUACUCUCUCUCAAUCCGGGCGUCGCCUCCCGUUGCCAGGCAACGAGAGCGCGCGCAGCAAAGAGGAAGCGGGACUGACAGAUGAGGAAACCGAGGUUUGCAGAGACUGAGUGACUUGUUGAAGAUCACACAGCUAAAAAUUCAGGGAAUGGCUUAAAUAGAAUUUCAGCUUUGGGGGCUCAUAAUUGAGUGAGAGGCUUCUUCCUUGAUUCCCCUGAGAAGGAAGAAAUCUUCAUUUUUGGUUUGCAAGACCAUGAAAACAGUGGCAUGGACCCAAAGAGUGAGCAGCAGCAAGAUUUAUUGU
This 521-nucleotide long non-coding RNA is filed under the name Homo sapiens (human). Its description in RNAcentral is "HSALNT0366488". Lineage: Eukaryota; Metazoa; Chordata; Mammalia; Primates; Hominidae. The record is from RNAcentral.